AUAGUAGUAAAGGUUGUUUUUGAGUAGUAUUAGUAUACUUGAAACUAAAAGAGUUUGGCGGUUCUUAAGUCUCCCCAGAGGAACCUGUUGUGCUAAUCGAUAGUCCCCGAGGAUUUACUAAUAUAAAUAUUUGUAUAUCGUUGUCAUCAGAAUAAUUUUUAGAAUAUUUUCAGGUAAUAUAUUAUUUAAAAUGUCAAAUCAAGGUGCAGUUUGUGUAUUAGGUUACUAUGGGUUACAAUAUCUAAGGAUAUUACGGAGGUUAAUUUGAAAUAGAAGAU
This 278-nucleotide ribosomal RNA is filed under the name Paralamyctes prendinii. Its description in RNAcentral is "partial 12S ribosomal RNA". Lineage: Eukaryota; Metazoa; Arthropoda; Chilopoda; Lithobiomorpha; Henicopidae. The record is from RNAcentral.